RNAcentral lists this long non-coding RNA (6485 nucleotides) under Homo sapiens (human). RNAcentral describes it as "HSALNT0388395". The record is from RNAcentral. Lineage: Eukaryota; Metazoa; Chordata; Mammalia; Primates; Hominidae.
AGCAGUACCGCUGAGGUCCUUUUGCCUGUGGUGGUAGCCUCGUUUUUUGUUUUUUUGUUUUUUUGUUUUUUUUUUUUUUGCUGUUUGCAGGUAAGUCUUGCAGCUGCUCGCUGUUUGGGUCUACACAGUCUUAAUGAGCUGUAAUACGUGAAGGUCUGCAGCUUCACUCACCAGGAGCAAUGAACAACUCCAGACGCGCCUCCUUAAGAGCUGCAAUACACCGCGAGGGUGUGCAGCCUCACUCCUGAACCAGUGAGACCACGAACCCACCAGAAGGGAAAAACUCUGAACACAUCUGAACAUGAGAAGGAACAAACUCCGGAUACGUUGCCUUUAAGAAGUGUAACACUCACCCCGAGGGUCUGUGGCUUCAUUCUUGAAGUCAGACCAAGAACUCACCAAUUUGGGACACAGCUUACCUCCCUUCCUCCUGAGUGUGGGGUGGCCUUAGUGAUUCACUGAUACUAGAACGUGUCAGAAGCGAAGGUGUGCAACUUCCAAGACUAGGUCGUAAAAGGCCUUGUGUCUUCCUCCUUGCUCUGUUCCUGGGUUCUUUUAAUCUGGAAAGCCAACUGCCAUGCCCUCAUAUAAGGGCACUUAAGCGGCCUUGGGGAGAAGACCACAUGGUGAAGAACUGAGACGUCUUGUCAACAGCCAGGUAGCUCUGGGCCAAUGACCAAACACAGAAGGGAUAUUACCAGCAGGUCAGCUCUUCAUCCUUUACAUCAUUAACCCCAGCUUUACCCUGGCUGUUGUGUGGAGAAUGAAGUGGAGAGAAGAGCAAGGAGGUACUGCCGUUAUCUAAGGGAGGAAUGAUGGCUUGCACAAGGGCGGUGGCAGCACAGAUGGAGGUAAGUGGAUGGAUGUGAACUAUAUUGAGGAGGAAAAGCUGGGAUUGGAGUUAGAUUGGAUGUGGAGACAGCAAGACAGAAAAAGGCCUGAGGGGCUGGGUGCAGUGGCUCACACCUGUAAUCCCAGCACUUUGGGAAGCUGAGGUAGGUGGAUCACUUGAGGUCUUUGAGACCAGCCUGGCCAACAUGGUGAAACCCCAUCUCUACUAAAAAUACAAAAAUUAGCUGGGCUUAGUGGCACACACCUGUAAUCUCAGCUACUCAGGAGGCUGAGGCAGGAGAAUCACUUGAACCCGGGAGGUGGAGGUUGCAGUGAGCCAAGAUCGUGCCACUGCACUCCAGCCUGGGCGACAGAGUGAGACUCUGUCUCAAAAAAAGAAAAAGGUCUGAGGGAUGACUUUAGGUUCCUGGUUGGGGAAACUGGAUGGAUAGCAGAGGUGCCAUCCACUGAGAUGAAGAACCUUGGAAAAGCACCAGUUUUCUGGGGAAAGAUCAUGAGUUCAUUCUCUUCAAUAGUUAAUUUGAAGUGUCUUUGAAAUAUACAAGUAAAGAUGUAUUGUAUACAGUCAGAUAUGGGCCUAGAGCUCAGAGACUCAAGGCCAGAGAUGCAGAUUUUAGGACUGUAUUAGUCAGGGUUGGCUAAUAUAUAUAAUGGUUAAGAAAGAAAAAUCACAAGAAAGAAAAAGAAGAUCUGAACAAUGCUGUCAACCACUUGACCUAACUGACAUUUGUAGAACACUCCAAGUACACAUUGUACAUUCUCCAAGAUAGACCAUAAAACGAGUUGGGCCAUAAAACGAGUCUCAAUACAUUUCAAACUAUUGAAACCUUCGAUAAAUCUUAAUUUAUUGAAAUUAGAAGUCAAUUACAGUAAGAUAUCUGGCACAACCCAAAUAUUUGGAAAUUAAAUACACACUUCCAGAUAACCCAUGGGUAGAAGAAUAAGUCACAAAGAAAAUGAGUAAUUAAAAAUUAUUUUGCACUGAACAAUAAAUAAAAGUAUAAUCUAUCAAAAUUUGUGAUUUACAACUAAAGGAGUGCUUAAAGGAAAAUAUUUAGCUUUAUUAGGAAAGAAGAAAGAUGUAAAAGUAAGGAUCUAAGGUUCCACUUCAAAAAGCUAGGAUAAAAAAGAGCAAAGUAAACUUUAAGUAGAAGAAAGGAAAAAAUAAUAAAAAAACAGUCAAUAUUUGUGAAGCAGAAAACAUAUAAGAAGAGAAAAUUAACAAAGCCAAAAGCUGGUUCAUUGAAAAUAUCAACGAAAUUUAUAAACUCCUAGCUGGCUAGGUUGAUUAAAGAGACAGCAUGCAAAUUAUAAAUUUAGGGAAUGAAAGGAGAUAUUGAUAGUAACAGGAGGCAGUCAAAUGCCUCGGCAGACAGGAGCAGGUCCCUGGUGAAGCCCCACCUCCAAACCAAAGACAGUUUAAAGCCUGAAAGCCAAACUACAAGUUAAAUCCUUGGACUGGAUUAAGAAUUUGUCCUCCUGUUUGGUGUGCCUUCCUCUGAUUGAUCCCCACCUUUCACCUAUUUUACAUAUACCUACCCUUUCCUAAUUGGUUUUCUACACUGUCAUGCCCACCUUUGAGUGAUCUCUUAAUUUUAACCUUCUUUGCAUACUCACAAACCAAUCAGCACACACUCCCCAUCCUGUGCCUAUAAAGACUCAGUCAGUAGAAGGGGAGAUGGCCUGACUUCGAGGAAGAGACAACCUGACUUUGGGGAAGACAACCUUCCCUUCCCAUCCCCUCUCCAGCUCCCCUCUCCACUGAGAGCUGUUUCCGUCACUCAAUAAAAUGCUCUGUCUUCACCCACUCAUUGGGUCCCAAGCUCUUGUCCAGCAUCCAGGCAGAAUGAGGUCAUGCAGGUGAUGGAAGAGUUUCUUCCUGGAUGCUGGAUAAGACCUCAGGACCCACCAAGUGCAGGUACCCAGAAAAGGCUGUCACAAUGGCCCUUUGCCCUCAGCAGCGGAGGGCAGCUACCCCACAUGACGAGGCAAGGGGCCAACUAAGCUGCUAACACACCACUGUCCAUCAGACCAUGGACAGUGGAACUAAAAGACUACUAUAACACACCCCCUUUGGGGCCUCGGGGUCAUGGGCAACCUCACCUGGGUGUCACUGUUCCCCUCAAGGUGACACACCUGGUCUGGCCACAGGCCCCCCAAACAGAGCUUGCUCCUGUGGCAAGCCAGAUCCUGCAGCGAGCCAGAUCCUGCACUCACUCUCUCACAUGCUCCCUCCCUCAAGGGGCUGAGCGCAGUGAGCCAAAUAGAUGGGGCGCCCCUGCCACAAGUUCGGCAAAGGGGCCGAAAAAAAUCCUGCAUCAAUAUCACCACAGAGCCCACAGGCAUUAAAAGGUAAUAAGAAAAUAUUAUGAACAACUUUAUGCCAAUAAAUUUGGCAACUGAGACGGGCAAAAUGGCUUGAUAAGAUUACAAAAUGAAAUCCAAAAUCUAAAUAGUUCCAUCUAUUAAAGAAAUUGAAUUCAUUAUCAGAACAUUUCCCACAAAGAAAACUUCAGAAGAUGAUAGAUCGUAAAUCUUUUCAACGUACACACAAAGGGUAACUAUGUAGAAGAGGUAGAUAUUUAAUUGGCUGUGUUGUGAUCAUUUCACAAUCUAUAUCAAAACAUCAAGUUGGGGGAUGGGGGGCUAGGGGAGUGAUAGCAUGAGGAGAAAUACCUAAUGUAGAUGACAGGUUGAUGGGUGCAGCAAACCUCCAUGGCACAUAUGUAACAAACCUAUGUAUACCUAUGUAACAAACCUGCACAUUCUGCACAUAUAUCCCAGAACUUAAAGUAUAAUAAAAAAUAUUAUUUAAAUAAAACUAUUGUUUAGAGUUAAAUCAAGUUGUACAGCUUAAAUAUGUACAAUUUUUAAAUGUCAAUGCUAUAUAAGUAGAGCUUUUGAAAAGAAAGAAAAGACAGAAAGAGAGACAAAGAAGAAAGAAAGAGGAAGGAAGCUCCUAGCCCAGAUAGUUUCCCUGGUGAAUUCUAUCAAACAUUUGAGAAAGAAGUUACACAAAUCUUAAGCAAAUUCUUUCAGAAAAUAGAGCAGGAAAGAACUCUUCUCAGUUUGUUUGAGGAGGCUAGCAAUAACCAGAUACCAAAAUCUAACAAAGAUGUUACAAGUAAAUAAAUAGAUACAUAAAUAAAUAAUGCCAAACCUCAGUAUCUUAAUUCAGUUAAGAUCUAUUUCUCCAAAGCGGAUACUAGGGAAGACUGCUCAUCAUAGACCCUCAGAGACCAGGCUGAGGAAACUUCCAUCUCAGCAGGUGCUUCCACUAUGAUUAAGGCAGAGACAGGGACAUCGUGAAUUGCAAGUUGACUCUGAAAGAUUCUGUCCGGAAGUGACGUGUCAUUUACUCUCAUCUUCAUAACCAUGUCCCAAGGAGGUGAGGAAGUCCUAACAUGUUCUUGGAAGCAGAGGAGAAGGAAGAGCUGUUAUCACAAGGGUCACAAAUGUAUAUAUAGUAACAGAAGAGCCUAAAUAACUAACACACAGCCCAGGCACAUGGUGAAACCCUGUCUCUACAAAAAAUACAAAAAGUAGCCCGGUGUGGUGGCAUGCACCUGUUGUCCCAGCUACUCAGGAGACUGAGGUGGGAGGAUCGCUUGAGCCUGGGAGGCGGAGGCUGCAGUGAGCUGAGAUUGCACCACUGCACUCCAGCCUGAGUGACAGAGUGAGACCCUGUCUCAGAAAGAAAGAAAGGAACACAGACAACUGCCCACUGAGAAAGUACAGCGUGGACAGCAAGGGGGCCCUGGGCCAGCGCUUGAGGAACCCCACCAGCCUGGCAGUGGACCUGAGCUGGCGAAGGAGGCUGAAACGGGGCAACAGAGAGAAAGAGGCGAAACAUCUGGUGAGUUCAAUGAGAAACUUGACCAUCUGUGUCUAGUGUGAUUGUGGGUCAUGCAAGGUGAGGACUGGAACAACUAGGAUGUCACUGGCACCGCAGCAAGACUUACGUCAAUGGAGUGAUGGAGAGGAACCCAGAAUGGAAUGAGCAAGAACUGAGUGAGGGGAAGAGACGAAAAUGGGGAAUGUGGAAAAACCUUUCCAGAAGCUGGUCGUGAAGGGAAGGAAGGCAGUAACUGGAGAAGGUCUUGUGUUGGAGAGGGUUGGUUGGUUUGUUCUUUCAGUGGGAGAGACCUGAAAUGUUUAAAUGUUGAUGGGAAGGGUCUGGUUUGGAGGAAGCGGUUAAAUAUAGAAGAGAAGCGAGUCACCCAUAGUAUAAGGCUCCUGGAAGCUGGAGGCUGAAAGUUGACAGUGAAGAAUGCCAUGAGGUGGAAUGGGGAGGCCAUGGCAAGUGCCACAUCUUAGCAGGUGCGUAGUGAGAAAAGACACAGCCCCUGAGAGACAGGCUGAGACUCACUGGUCCCUGGGGCCACUUCCGCUCUGACUUCCAGUUCCAGUUCUGGUUCUUCUGCGUGUCCUUACAACAACCUCCUUUUUCCCGACGAUAUGUGUUCAUUCAACAAAUAUUUAUGGGCCACCUACUACAUGCUAAGCCCAGUCCUGACAGCUGCAGAGAGGGCAGUCAGCAAGACCGAUGCCCGUCCCUACCCUCAGAAUCUUUUCUUGCAUCCGACGAAGCUGAGUGACCAAUCCCUUUGGCAAUACAGAUGCCCUCCAUUUGGAUUGGUUUAUGAGAGAGCAACAAAUAGAGGCAACAGAUAUGAGGGUCAGAAGAUAGUGCACUUCCCAUAACAGGAAGGGGGCUCUUGGACACAGCUCCUCUUCUGGAAGGUCUUGGGGGCUUUGUUGCGGGGAGGUGUCCAGAUGUGUCUCUGGGGUAACUGGAUGCAGAGAUUCGCUCUCUGCUGUGAAGGUGCUGAGAUAGGCACGUGCCUGUGCUGAAUCCUAUACAAAGAAAGCGAAAGAAACCAACAAAUUGACCCCCCCCACACACACACAUAGAAGCAUCUCCACUGUUUGUUUGCUGUUGCUGUUCUUUUCUUUUUUGGUGUAGAAAUUGAGCACAUACACAAAGGAAUCUCCACUGCCCAUCACUCUAGCUGCUGCUGACCUCUCCUCCAAACACUCCUAUGUGCUCCAUGUGUCCCAUUUGACUACGAGUCACAUACUUUCUCUAACAUCUUAGUUUCAGCUACUCAAAACCAGCACUGAUUCUGGUCUUUUCUGUUAUGUGGGCCCAUACAUUUCUUUCUAUACUUCAGUUUAAAAUGAAUUUUUUUGGCCAGGCAUGGUGGCUCACACCUGUAAUCCCAGCACUUUGGGAGACCAAGGUGGGACGAUCACCAGAGGUCAGGAGUCCAAGACCAGCCUGGCCAACAUGGUGAAACUCUGUCUCUACUAAAAAUAAAAAAAUUAGCUGGGCGUGAGGGCAGACACCUGUAAUCCCAGCUACUCGGGAGGCUGAAGCAGGAGAAUCACUUGAACCCAGGAGGCAGAGGUUGCAGUGAGCCAAGAUCGCGCCACUGCACUCCAGCCUGGGCAACAAGAGCAAAACUUCUUCUCAAUAAAUAAAUAAAUAAAUAAAUAAAUAAAUAAAUAAUAAAAUAAAUAAAAUAGAAGUUUAAAUCUCUUGUAGUGAAAAGAAUCUUAUCUAAGAGACCCAGAGUCAAGUCCUGCCCCACCUUACCUGCCUGCCACCCUGGGCCAAGCACCCCAUCAAG